GAUGAACGCUGGCGGCGUGCUUAACACAUGCAAGUCGAACGGUGAAGGCGGAGCUUGCUCUGCUGGAUCAGUGGCGAACGGGAGAGUAACACGUGAGCAAUCUGCCCCUGACUCUGGGAUAAGCGCUGGAAACGGCGUCUAAUACUGGAUACGAGCUGCGAAGGCAUCUUCAGCAGCUGGAAAGAAUUUCGGUCAGGGAUGAGCUCGCGGCCUAUCAGCUUGUUGGUGAGGUAAUGGCUCACCAAGGCGUCGACGGGUAGCCGGCCUGAGAGGGUGACCGGCCACACUGGGACUGAGACACGGCCCAGACUCCUACGGGAGGCAGCAGUGGGGAAUAUUGCACAAUGGGCGAAAGCCUGAUGCAGCAACGCCGCGUGAGGGACAACGGCCUUCGGGUUGUAAACCUCUUUUAGCAGGGAAGAAGCGAAAGUGACGGUACCUGCAGAAAAAGCGCCGGCUAACUACGUG
This 468-nucleotide ribosomal RNA is filed under the name uncultured bacterium. RNAcentral's name for it is "partial 16S ribosomal RNA". It matches the Rfam family "Bacterial small subunit ribosomal RNA", at positions 28 to 507 of the family's 1533-position model. The record is from RNAcentral.